UACGUAGGUGGCAAGCGUUGUCCGGAUUUACUGGGCGUAAAGAGCGCGCAGGCGGCUGAUUAAGUCUGAUGUGAAAUCUUCCGGCUCAACCGGGAAACUGCAUCGGAAACUGAUCGGCUUGAAGGUGGGAGAGGUAAGCGGAAUUCCUGGUGUAGCGGUGAAAUGCGUAGAUAUCAGGAGGAACACCUGUGGUGUAGACAGCUUGCUGGACCAUAACUGACGCUGAGGCACGAAAGCGUGGGUAGCAAACAGG
Molecule: ribosomal RNA, 253 nt
Filed under: uncultured bacterium
Lineage: Bacteria
Description: partial 16S ribosomal RNA
Rfam family: Bacterial small subunit ribosomal RNA
Source: RNAcentral